Gossypium raimondii (Peruvian cotton) is the source of this 2424-nucleotide RNA transcript. RefSeq lists it as uncharacterized. The record is from RefSeq and is a predicted model, not a curated record. NCBI's taxonomy places the organism in Eukaryota, Viridiplantae, Streptophyta, Magnoliopsida, Malvales, Malvaceae. The transcript is spliced from 9 exons.
CAUCUCUCUCGGUCUUUAGGCCCUGCCCUGUCUGACGAAGAACUUUCUUUCACCACAUUCUUUGAUAUUUGUUGCGCUCCAUCGAUCCCAACUCCCAAGACUUUCACAAUUUGCAGCAAUUUUCAUUUUUCAAAUUUCUACAGGGUGCCCCCGACCUCCCCUCUUACUUUCUCCUGCUUCCCAAGCAACAAGCUCUUAUUACUCUUUUGAUUUGUACAUAAACAAACGAUUAAUAGGGGAGGGGAAGGAAUGGGAGAAGGGAGAGAAGGAGACUGGGAGUGCAGUGUAUGCAAGAACAGGAACUAUGCCUUUAGAUCCUUCUGUAACAGAUGUAAGCAGCCUCGUCUUCUCGUUGACACCAAAACUCCUGCUGAUUCCAAAUGGCUUCCUCGUAUUGGUGAUUGGAUCUGCACUGCUUGCACUAACAACAAUUAUGCAUCAAGAGAGAAGUGCAAAAAGUGCGGGCAACCAAAGGAGAUUGCAGCAAUGCCAGCAAUUGCAAUGCCUGGAGCUUCUCUCCCAACCUAUUCACAUUAUUUUGCAAGGGCCCUAGGAGCACUGGAGCAAAAGAUGAAUGUUGGAUUUGUAGGCAGUGGUGCUCCCCAACAGUUCCUUCCUUUGAGUUCCAAUUGGUCUGUGGGAGGGGCUGAUAAUUGUGGACUUCAGUCAGCACCAACAUGGCCUGUUGCUGGAAACCAAUCUCCUGGGGCAUAUGCAAAUCCUGGUAAUCAGCCCCUUUCUGUUCCAAAGGGAUGGCGAAAUGGUGACUGGAUUUGCAACUGUGGCUUCCAUAAUUACUCUUCACGUUCACAGUGCAAAAAUUGCAAUGCAUCCAUACCACCAGCACUUGGAACUAAGCGAUUAGCAUCUGAAGAAUUUGUACAUGAUUGGGAUCAUAAAAGAUUAAAUUUAGGAAAUGGCAAGGACGAACAACUGUAUCCUGGAUUUGACCAAAUGGUAGGAGCCACCAGUGACCCAAAACCUGGAGCAUAUCCUUCCUAUCCCAGUAUAAAUCCUGCUGUGGCUUCAAAUUGGCCAGCACCCAUUCCGUUUCCUCCUCAAGCUGCAACAACUCUUCUUGGAAAAGGCGCAAAACAAUGGCGUAGUGGAGAUUGGAUGUGUGCAAAAUGCAACAAUCACAAUUAUGCAUCUCGAGCUCAAUGCAACAGGUGUAAGACUCAGAGAGAGACAGUGACUUAGCUGGUAAAUGCUGCAGUGUUGCCAUUUAAUGCCAGUUUUGAUUCAUAAGAAUUUUUCUAGCACAGUGCGCAGAGUACUCAAACAAAAACAGCAACAACAAAACUAGACGUCAGAUAUUUAGUGUAAGAACAUGGAAUCAUUAGAAAAGAGUCACUUGUUUCUGUCUUGCCGAAGGUGUGGUAUAUGGAGGCCGCUUAAGCAAUUUGCAAGACUACGGAAAUAAAAGUUGUCUUUGAGCUGGUGUAUGGCCCAAUGGAUCCCUCUCUACCAUUCUACUACCCUCCUCAGUAAUCCCCAAAGCUGCAACAUUUGCCGUCCUAUGAUUUUUUUAAUUUUUAUUUGGGGAAUAUCUGCAGCUCCAGAAGAUGUGGUUCCUUGACGCCAAGUCUUGUCUACUUAACAUGCUUAGGGAUAUAGAGAGUGCACCAAACAAAUCGAUGGCACCCCACCUCCUGAAAUUUAGGUGUAAGAGCUUCCCAAGCUGUAGCUGUAGAAGAGGUGUACCCAGGUACACUUCAGAUGACUCCUUGCUCAAACCUGAUCAAGAACGAUGUGACUAUUCCCUUCAUGUUAAGUAAUUGCCUCAUGCUCCACACAGAUCUCUUCCUUUCAACACAUGGGAUUGGGGCCAUCCUAUCUACAAUGAUCCAAAUAUCAUGAAAAAGGCUCAUAAGUGCUUGAGAAUGCAUGGCGGCUCAAGAGCAUCCUUUGAUUCUGGUUCGCCAAUCCACUUGUUUGUUCCUUCCAGGAGAAACUAGAGCAUAGGUAAAUAACAAGUGCCUGCACCAAUAAUUAUGUAGGUUGAAAAGAAUAAGACCGAAUCAGUUGUAGGCUGUCCAACUAGUGACCGAUCCUUGGUUACUACGGUAGCGUAUGGAAAGAGUGCCAAGUUUGAAUUCAGUAGCUUGUAGGUCUCUUUGCUGGAUACGUGAGUAAAAACUCACUUUGGGUGUUGUUGGGUUGUUGCCAAAUAGGUGCUAAAACAAAUCUGCAAUGAACUCUAUACUCACAGCACAGAAUCUAGGCUGCCUUUGGUGAAGAUUAAAACAUCAUCUGCAAAACGUAAAUCCGUCACUCUCUACAUUUGGAACAUACUUUGUUAUCUGCAGCAACGACUUCUCAAUCUUGAAAUACAUUUUUACUGGUAUUUUAAUAAUAUAAAAUUGUGACUUACCACAAUGAAAAUAUGCAUUAACAUUCUAUAAUGAAAAGCUAGACGUCUUU